This 10474-nucleotide long non-coding RNA is filed under the name Gossypium raimondii (Peruvian cotton). RNAcentral's name for it is "long non-coding RNA (GRAI_LNC001361)". The record is from RNAcentral. Lineage: Eukaryota; Viridiplantae; Streptophyta; Magnoliopsida; Malvales; Malvaceae.
CCUAAACCCUAAAAGCCAUAAAACCCAAAUGUAAAAUCAGCGUCAAAAUCGCGUCCCCGGUACCGCGCUACGUGACAGGACAUCGCGUCCACGUCAGCGCGACCUGCUGACGUGGAAGGAAAUCGCGUUGCGCUGACGUAGACGCGAUGUCCUGUCACGUACCUUGACAUCGCACUGACGUGGACGCGAUUUCAGGAAAAUGGCCCAUUCCGGUAAAUAAUUAAAAAAUUGGCCCAUUUCGGUAAUUUUUAAAAAAAUUAGAUUUUUUUGGUAAAUUAGCCCAAAAACCAACCAGUUAUAUCAUAUUUAAAAGUGGACUAUAAAAUCUAUGCCCCAGUGGCACUGAAAUUCCAAGAGUAAAACGUUACUCCACUAAAAUGCAGCUUCAGAUUGAUAUUUCAAUUUGACUAAACUCCAAAAUUUUGACCGCGGAGUUCAAAGCUCCAAUGCCACGGGUACUUAUUUUUAUACCCUGUCAAUCCCUUUCUUUGUUAUUAUUUAUUUUAUUUUUAAUAUAAAAAUACUUUUUUAAUAUUUAGUGUAAUACUCAAAUUUUGCCCGGCCCGAGCCCAAGUAUAUAAACCAAAUCAAAAAAUUAACAACAGUCCAAUAGCAGUCCAUUUACAAUAACCAAUCGACCCAAUUAGGCUAAUCUCUAGCCCAAUCGUGUUAUAGGCCCAACAAACCCAAACCCUGAUAAGCCUAAAUAGCUUCCAAAAACCCCUAGGGUUUCUGGAACGGACCAAGCGCCGCAACUCCCUCAGCCCCAGCGCGAGCCACCACAACAGUAGCCUCACAUACACUGCCACGCACGCCUCCACGCCACGCGCCUCCGUACACUGUACCUACAAAGGAAACGAAGACAACGCAGCACAAAAAAGAACAAAAAAGGAAGAAAAGAAAAUAAAAAGAUAGCACAAAGAGAAAAUAGGAGAAAGAGAAAAAAGAUGGAUGUAGUUUCGGGGCUAUAAAACCCCAUUUUCUGUAUUGUUUCAUAUCUUUUUUUUUACACACAUCAGAAUAAAAAACCGAGCAAGAUCUUAAGAGGUUGAGAAUCCGAUUGUUUUUCCUUUUGGUUCUUCGUUUUCUGUUUUCUUUUUAUUUUUUUAUUCAUUUAUUUGUUUGUUCGUCUCUUUUAGAAAUCGAUUUUAACAAAAAAUCUAGAAUAAUAAGAAAAGAAAAGGAAAUACCUGGAAUCGCCGCAAGCCCCCAUCACCGGAGAUCUUCUUUGGUCACCGAAAAUCGGACCGAAAAGGGUGUGGGGUUCUCUUAUUUCGACUUUCGGGCCGAGAAGUCUCAUCCUACGAGCGGGGUCUGAUACAGGGUUAAAAACCCAUUUUUCUAGUGCUCCGGCCACCGCCUGCAGCGGACCCACGGAGGUGUAGACGACGGCCGAUUGUCGUGCCCAGAACCGAAAAAGAGGGUGUUGAGAGGAUCUAAGAGACCCUCUCUCUAUUUUUGCUGGAAAAUGAAAAUGGAAUGUUUUUUGUGUGUUUUUUUCUAUUUAUAUGCGGUCCAAUACGACGCCGUUUUUUGCUUAAGCAUAAAUGGCCAAACGAUGUCGUUUCACAUGUGACUCGAACACCCGACCCGAAUGCGGUCAGGAUCCGCGUGUUUUGGUGGGAGGGGCUAAUUGCAUGUUUAGCCCCUCCGCUUUUGUAACCUAAUGUAAUCUGAUUUUUGCUCAUCUUCGAUUUUGGCAACGAUUUUUUGCUGCGUGUUCAAUUCGGUCCUUAGACCAUACGCAGCCCCUUUGCUUAAACGCCACGUUUUGGGACUGAGGAAUAUUUCCCUGAAGGUCCCUCGCGCUUUGAGCGUUUCCAGUCCCCUGGCAAUCAUCUUUUAUUUAUUUGCGAUUCAAGCCCCAGAUUUUGUGUCCGUUUUCGAUUCAGUCCCUAGCCAGUUUAAUUAUUAUUUAUUUAUUUAUUUAUUCAUAAAAAAUAGUUUUAUUUAUUAUUUCAUUUAAUUGUUAUUUAUUUACUUAAUUUUUAUCAAACUUACAUUAGGUUUUAUUUUAUUUAUUUACUAUUUUAAACAUUGAUUUUGUUUAUUUUAAUUCUUGCCAUUAUUAUUGCAAUUUCAUUCUAUUAAUUAUUUAUUUUUUAUCUUCAAAUGUUUUCAAAUCUAGAUCCAUUAGGAUUGUAUUUGUUUUGUUAUUAUGUUAAUGUUAUUGUUAUUUGUUUCUUACCUUAUGAUUCAUGCAUUUCGAUUUAUUUGUAUCAAUGCUAUGUGUAUGUGUUAGGAUGCAUAUUAUGUUAUGGAUUUUAAAUGUAUGUUGUAUAUUCAUUAUAGGUCGUGUACGACAUCCUUUCCAUUUUAAGCAAUGUCUUUUCAAAUACAAUCAAAAUUGCACGCAUUUGGUUUUUAAAUACUCCAUUAAUUCGUACUCAAAAUUCAAAAGGGUAAAAUUUCAAAAUAAUAAAGGCAAUAUUCCGUAUUUAGAAAAUCCGAGGAAUCGUGUUCUAACUUACUGAGCUUCGAUUUUUCUCGCAUUGAUCCUAAAUAACCGAAUACCCUUUUAAAAUUAAAACAAAUGAGGUUUAAAUAAAAAACGAAAGGCAAACUUAUUCUCAAAAUACGAGAUGUCGGGUCCUAACUUACUGGAUGUGACAUUUUGUUACUUCGAGAUAAGGAGGCGUUUUCCAUUUUGAUUUAUUCAAAGUAGUUUUGAAAUAACGCAAUGUAAAAAAGGGAUUGUAUUUCUAAAUUCUUUUCGAGUUUUAAUUUUCGACACUAAGACAUUAAAUAAUCAACUAGGUACCAAUUUUGGGCGUAUCGAGGGUGCUAAUCCUUCCUCAUACGUAACCGACUUCCGAACCUAUUUUUCUAAAUUUCGCAGACCAAAAACGUUGUUUUAAUAAAUCUAAACCGUUUAUUAAAAACACCUAUUUUUCGAGGUGACCCGAUCACACUUUAAUAAAAGAUCGGUGGCGACUCCAUUUUCAAAAUCGAUUCCCAUUUUUGUUUUUCAAAAAAAAUGGUUUCGACAGCUUGGCGACUCCACUGGGGAAUAUUAGUGAGUCAGGCCGUAAAUUUUUUUUUUUGGUCGAAAAUUGAAAAUUGGAUUUGGAAAAUUAUGAUCCUCUCUUUGCAUUUGUUUGUAUGAUUACUGUAAAUUGAAUUUUAUAUCUUGGCAUCAUAUUGCAUAAAGGCUAGUUAGUCUUUCCAUUUUAAGUGGGAGUGAGAAGCUACUCCUUCGUGAGGUUUUCACCUCCGUGCAGGAUAGUGGAUCACUUUCGGGAUACAUCCGUACCUAUGUCUUCGUGAGAUUUUAAUCUCCGUGCAGCCAUAGGGAAAUGUAUUCCCCUGAAUCAAACUCGGUCUGUAUGAGCCUAUAAUGGGUGAAGAUCGAGGAAUCUGCUGGUUCGGGUACCUUAACUUUAGAGCCAAACUGCAUAUAGAAGACCUUAGGAACCCAUCCUAGGUAGAGCCACUCAAAAGCCCUAGUGGUACCCGACUAGGUACUUUUGUUUUCCUUGUUUGCUUCUGUUUUGUACUAACCUAUCUUGUUUUGUUUUGAUUAUGAUUUCAUUGCAUUUGCAUCUUAGAAAAGAGAUAUUGAUUCAAAUCCAAUUACUAAAUUAGAAAGCUUGUCAUGGAAUACGAAUUCCUUGAUAAAGUGGAAAACAAUACGGCUGUCUGAAUAUAUUCUGAGAAACACAAGAAGAACGAGGGAAGAGUUCGUGACCUUGCUUCGUAGCCUGAGGAUUCAAGGAGAUUGUUUAAGAGCCUUCGACGUUCCAAGAAGCUGACGAGCCUUAUGAAGAUGGGCAGAUGAUGGAUCGCGACCAAGAUCAAGAAAAGGAGCUAGCAGUGGCAUCUAUCGGCGAGAUUGUCUCAAGCAUGCAGAUAAAGAAAAGGAUCGAUGUUGUCUCUUGGAAUAUAAUGGAGAGGUCGUACAUGCAUCUGCUUUAUAUAAAGGAAUUUGCCUUCUAGUAAAGUUUUCUAAAUGUAAUCAGAAUCAAUGUCUCUUUAGGCAUUCAUUUCAUGCAUCUGCAUUACAAGACAUCAUAUGCAUUAAAGUUCAUUGAAAGAAUCUAAUUGAGUAAAUUUGUUUCAGUUAAUCUGGAAAACCAACCAACCAAACAUCCUUACGGUACUCGUCGCAAAACUAAGGAAAUGGAUCAAAUAUUAGAGAAAUUGGAGCAAAUGCAAAAGGAUAUGCAAGAACAGUUACAAGUACAAAUGCAAGAGUGGCUAGAUAAAAUCCAAGAAAACAUGAUGGAAAAAUUUAUCAAGGCUCAAAAAGAUGCGAUGGCUGAGUUGACCCAUCUACUGACUAAAGGAGUAAAUAAGGGGAAAGGUCCUAUGGUAAAUGAUGAAGAAGAAGACAAUGAUAGACCUACCUAUCCUCCAGGCUUUACGCCUUUGCAUGCGCAGGUUCAGACUGAGGUACCUUCGCGCAGAUCCUCUGUUUCAAUUGGGCCUCAGCGGUUUCAAAUCGAUGUUUCAAUACCGACAAAAUUUCUGGCCGGAUCAGUUCCUAACCCUGGUGGUAAUCCGGUUAAUCUUGCCGUCCCGGAUUUUGAUGAAACAGCUGAAGAAGGAAAGACGAACGCGGAAUUGCCAAAACAGUGAGAUGAUAGGUGCAAAUGGUUGGUGGAAAAGAUCAAAGCCCUGGAAAACAUCGAUAAUCACUAUGGAAUCGAUGCAAAAGAUCUGAGCUUGGUUCCAGACUUAGUACUCCCUCACAAGUUCAAGAUGUCUGAAUUUGAGAAGUAUAGUGGGACCAGUUACCUUGAAGCCCAUAUCACCAUGUUCUGUAGGAGAAUGACUGGGUAUAUUAACAAUGAUCAGCUAUUAAUACAUUUUUUUCCAGAUAGCCUCAUUGGAGCAGCGUCAAAAUGGUACAAUCAGUUGAGCUGUACCGAGAUUGGUUCAUGGAGGGACCUAGCACAGGCAUUCAUGAAAUAAUACAGUCAUGUGACAGAUAUGGUUCCUGAUAGAAUCACUUUGCAAAACAUGGAAAAGAAGCCAAGCAAAAGUUUUAGGUAGUAUGCACAGAGGUGGAGGGAGGUUGCAGUCCAGGUUCAGCCACCCCUCUUGGAGAAAGAGACGAUAAUGCUCUUCAUUAAUACACUGAAGGCCCCGUUCAUCACGCAUAUGUUAGGAAGUGCAACAAAAAGCUUUUCUGACAUAGUUAUGAAUGGUGAAAUGAUUGAGAAUGCUAUAAGAAUCGAAAAAAUUGAGGCGGAAGAGAGUAAUAAGAGGUCAACCCCAAGGAGAAGAGAAAAUGAGGUGAACAACACAGGUUACUCUAAACCAGUUGCUGUGAGUCAACCAGGAUAGGUGGCUGAUAAUCAACAAAAUUCAUCAAGGUAAGAAUCUGGAGUGAAACCAAGUACUGAGAAGCUCUAGUUCACACCAAUUCCAAUGUCGUAUACGAAGCUAUAUCAACGCUUAUUCGAUGCGCAUAGUGUUGCCCUUUUCUACUCAAAGCCCCUACAACCUCUGACCCCUAGUGGUAUGAUGCGAAUGCACAGUGUGAUUAUCAUGCGGGAAUUGGGGGACAUUCGAUAGAAAAUUGCACCAUCUUUAAAAAGCUUGUUGAAAGGCUCAUUAACAUGGGUGUUGUCAAGUUUAAUGACUCUAGUGCAGAAAAUUUGUUACCCAAUCAUAAUUGAUGAUGGAGUGAAUGUAAUGCAUGAAGAAGAGUGGGAAAUGUUCACAUCGACGAAAAGCAACUGAAAAAGGGACCUUGUUAGAUAUCCGCCCUUAUAAAUUUGGGAGUGCUCUAAGCAAUUAAGACUGCGGAAGAAAUCCCUGUAGUUUUUAAAGCUUAUUUAGAGUAAUGUUCAGAACAUUUUUGUUGUUUUAGCCUAAAAAUGAUAGAAAUUCCUUUGUGAAAUAGGCUCAUGUCUGAACGUUAUUAUUUUAAUGAAAUACAUCUUUGCAAUUAUUGCUGAGUCAAUAUUUUCAUUCUUUACGAAAAAUUUGAGAUUCUUUCAUUCUUUUGGAUUUUCUUCCAAAUUAUUAUUCAUUCAUUCAUAAUCACAUGGUACAAAUAAUUAUUCAUGAAUUUAUACAUUCUUUUGUACAUUCUUCGUUACUUAUUAUGGGUCCCCAGAUAUCAAUUACAUGAAUGACUCUGCUACAGACCCAGAUUUUCCUUUUGAGCGAGGCAUGUGUUUAGAGGGAUUUCAUGACUUUGAAAAUGACAUGGAUUGUAACCUAUCUUCUAACUUGUUGAGGAUGGUAGAGAGGAAAUUUUACCCUACAAGGAGAUAAUAGAGAUGGUAACCUCAAAGAAACGUGCAUAGCUGGAGAAACAAAGUAGGACCCUGUUGAGUUACCUCUAGAGUUCAAAGAUGUCUUUGUAUGGUCAUACCAGGUGUGCCUGGGUUAAUCGCUAGUAAUGAAACCUGCACAAUAGCACGAUGUCAGAAAUUUGCAAUAUGAAUGAUGCAAUUCUUUACCGGGGCAAUGCCUUUCUCGUUGAGUCAGCAUAGCUUUGCCCAUUUGAAGUCGAGUUUCCAUCCCUUCAAGAUGUUUUCUGUUAUAGUUGCGCCCCAAAAGGCUCUAUGAAAGAAAUCUGAUACUAAAGAAGGUUUUUCGCAUACAAGAUGAAAGUGAAAGAUCUCAGGAGGAGGACUUUAUCUAUAAAAACAUUGAUUCUGGUCGAAGGAGGAUAACAAGGACUUGCCUAAUCCUAUGAGUUCAGAGUAAAAAAAAAUCAAAAUCAAAAACAAAAAGAAAAAGAAAAAAAAAGAAAAAUCAAAGUCAAAAGAAAAAAAGAAAAAUUAAUCAAAGUCAAAAUAAAAGUAUGAAAAAGAAAAGGAGAGGCCAAGGCGAAAACCCGCAAAGGGCGCUUUGUGACCAAAGGUGGUUUUGAGUUGAAAACCCGAAAAGGGCGACUCAAAUUUUGAGCAAAAUGGGGCAUGACCGUCAUCAUCAUUGAAGGUUUCUAAUGGGCAUUGCUUCAUGUUUGAGAUCAUUAGUUACUUUGUCAAACGGGUAGAGGCUGCUUCAUGCGUCAAUGUCAUUAUAUGCCGGUAUAGAAUUACAGAGAAGACGAUAUCAUGAAUGUUAGUAUGAUAGCUGAGGUCUGUGAUCAAUUCAAAAUCAGAUACCAUAGUUCAUCACUGUAUGGAAUUACGAAAAAAUGACUGAGACUUACAAUGACCGGCAUGAGAAAUUACCAUUUGCCUUCCUUGCUUGUCGAACAUCUGUACUGGGGCAACACCUCUCUCUUUGGUUUACAGGAUUGAGUAGUUUUACCUAUUGAAAUCCCUUCUCUCCAGGUAUUAGUUGAGCUAGAGUUGGAUGAAGCAGAAUGGAUCCAAUCGCGAUGUGAUCAGUUGGACCUAGGAAAAGGGUUAAAAGCUAUUCAUUAGGGUCGGAUGUACCAGAUGAUACGAGCCCAUAAUAAAUAAGGUCGUCUCAAAGAAUCCCACGAGAGGGUCGGGUGUUGGAAAAGAUCCUUCAUCUACAAAAAGAUUUUAGAGGAAAAUGAAUGCCAAAUCGGGAAUGUCCCUAUGUUGUAAAGAAGACCUUUUUCAGAGGAGCACUGAUACUGAGUGAGAUUUCUAAUCCUAUAAACUUGGAUCCAGUCAAGAAACACUUCAUUUAAAGAAGAAGAGAGGACCAAGGUAAAAACCCGUAAAGGGCACUUUUAGUCAAAAAAAUGAAAAAAUGAAAAAUGAAAAAUGAACAAGUAAAAUGGAGAGGCUAAGGGGAAAACCCGCAAAUGGCACCUUAGGCCAAAGGGGAUUUGAGUUGAAAACCUAAAAAGGGCAGCUCAAAUAUUGAUCAGAAUGGGUCAUGAAGUGAUCAGAGCAACUCGUAUCUUGAUCAGAUUGGGGCAUAUGGUAAUCUUGUUAUGCCUAAAUCAAUAGGAAAGGAUAGGUGACAUCUUGGGGCAUCGACAAAGUACUGUAGAUCUCCUGAACACAUGUCAAACUCAAAAUGGUCUUCAGAAAGUUUAUACAGAGAAGUUCAAGCUGCGAUAUCUGGGGCACCCAAUUCUCAUAUUAUUUAUAUUGAAUUUUCUGUUCUUGGAAUACUUCAUUCUCUUCCAGAACACACAUUCCCAAUCAAUUUCUUCGUUAUUCUUCUGUACUAUUUUUGAUAAUUUGUUUCUUCGAGCUAUGCUCAAAACCAACUUCAUUCUUAUCCAUUGUUAUGAUCCCUUUUGCAAGCAUGUUGCAUUGGAAUAAUGAUUAAUGGACUAAUAAAACUUUCACAAGGGAAGUUUUGCAUAUUACUCUAGAAGUUUCUAAAUAAUACAGGAGCCUGAAACGGAACUAUUAUUUAGAAUGCACCAAGUUUAAAGGUUGGAAAUUUGAGAAGAAAGAGUCUAAAUUUGGACUUUCUUUUUGGAUUUUGUUGUCAAAUGCAUUGAUUGACAAGAUGCCAUGUUGGUGACAAAGCUUAAAUAAACAAGCAAGCAAUUAUCAUCAGGCAAUUAUUAUCAGGCAAGAGGAAUAGGUUACCUCGAAGAAGAGAGCCUUCAUCUGCGCAUAAGUCUUUGGUACGACACCUUGGGAAUGGUGUAAGGAACUAGAAAGAUUAAGAUCCUAUGUCCUUGAAUUGUGAUAAAAGAGGAUUGAGGAAAAGUCAUAUUUCUACCAUUGGAUUACGGUGAGAGACUGAUAGUACAAAUUUUGUGCCCCAGUGGAUAUAACUUCGAGGUUUACAGUGGGGGUAACCUGGCUAAAUGUUUCUUCAGAAAAUGCCAGUCGAGAAGGAAGGUGUUAUAGCACUUCAGUGACAAAGCCUUAAUAAACUUCGAGCAAUGACAACCUAAGCAGGAUCAUUCUCGAAAAAAAUAAAAUUCUGCAUUCAUGCAAACACCAUUCACACAUGUCUAGUUAGGAGCAUUUGAUUUAUUUUGAUCAUGCCAUCCUAAUCAUUAGGCAUAAUUAGGUUCAUUAUACAGGUCAUGUUCCCCAGAGAAUAGAUCAGUGAAUAUAACAGAUCUUGUCUCUCUAAGCAGUAGUGGAGUAGAUCAAAGACGGCGAAUCUUAUCUUCAAGUGUAAGGAAACAGAUUUAAGCCACAAGUCCUAUGUCCCUGGUCAGCAGUGGAAUAGGUUGGAAAUUACAGAUCUUGUCUCCCUAAGCAGUAGCAGAGCAGAUUGAAGACGGCGAAUCUUAAAUUCAAGUGUAAGGAAGCAGAUUUAAGCCACAAGUCCUAUCUCCCUGAGGUUACAGUGGAGUAGAUUGAAGAUGAUAAUCUUAUCUCCCUGAAGUUGCAGUGGAGCAGAUUGAGAAAACAAGUCUUAUCCUCCUGAAGUCGCAGUGAGGCAGACCAAAGAAGCAAAUCUUAUCUCCCUGAGGUUGCAGUGGAGUAGAUUGAAGACGAUAAUCUUAUCUCCCUGAGGUUGCAGUGAAGCAGACUGAGAAUAGCAAAUCUUACUUUCCUGGCAAUGCAAUGGAACAAGAUUAACGCCACAACAGCGAACCUUGCUUCCCCGAUAUUGCAGUUAAAAAGAUUAAACCUACCACAACGAAUCGUACUUCUCAAGCGGUGCAGUGGAACAGAUUAACGCCACAACGGUGAACCUUGCUUCCCCGACAUUGCAGUUAAAAAGAUUAAAGCUACAACAGCGAAUCUUACUUCUCUGGUAGUGCAGUGGAACAGAUUAACGCCACAACGGCAAACCUUGCUUCCCCGACAUUGCAGUUAAAAAGAUUAAAGCUACAACAACAAAUCUUACUUCCCUGGUGGUGCAGUGGAACAGAUUAACGCCACAAUGGCGAACCUUGCUUCCCCGACAUUGCAGUUAAAAAGAUUAAAGCUACAACAGCGAAUCUUACUUCCCAGGCGGUGUAGUGGAACAGAUUAACGCCACAACAGUGAAUUUUACUUCCCCGACAUUGUAGUUAAAAAUAUUAAAGCUACAACAGUGAAUCUUACUUCCCAGGCGGUGUAGUGGAACAGAUUAAAGCCACAUCGAAGUAUCUUACUUCCCCGACAUUGCAAUUAAAAGGAUUAAAGCUACAACAGCGAAUCUUGCUUCCUCGACAUCAUAGUUAAACAGAUUAAAGUUACGAGUUACAAAUCCUAUCUCCCCGACGUCGCGAUGGAGCGGAUCGAGACAUCAAUUCCUAUACCUCUGAAGAUGCAGUGGGAUGAAAUGGAGCUACUUGAAGAAAAGGAGCACCAAGGUCCAGCACGACCGGGAAAAAUUGACCAUUUUUGGAGUCUUUGCUCCGUUCCUGUUACACGACAACGAGCAAAGAGGUGCAGCUGUAAUACCCAAAUUUUACCCGGCCCGAGCCCAAGUAUAUAAACCAAAUAAAAAAAUUAACAACAGUCCAAUAGCAGUCCAUUUACAAUAACCAAUCGACCCAAUUAGCCUAAUCCCUAGCCCAAUUGUGUUAUAGGCCCAACAAACCCAAACCUUGAUAGGCCUAAAUAGCUUCCAAAAAACUCUAGGGUUUUUGGAACGGACCAAGCGCCGCAACUCCCUCAACCCCAGCGCGAGCCACCACAACAGUAGCCUCACAUACACUGCCACGUACGCCUCCACG